RNAcentral lists this ribosomal RNA (984 nucleotides) under Cyclospora cayetanensis. Its description in RNAcentral is "bacterial SSU rRNA". It matches the Rfam family "Eukaryotic small subunit ribosomal RNA", at positions 1 to 939 of the family's 1831-position model. The record is from RNAcentral. Lineage: Eukaryota; Apicomplexa; Conoidasida; Eucoccidiorida; Eimeriidae.
ACCUGGUUGAUCCUGCCAGUAGUCAUAUGCUUGUCUCAAAGAUUAAGCCAUGCAUGUCUAAGUAUAAGCUUUUAUACGGUGAAACUGCGAAUGGCUCAUUAAAACAGUUAUAGUUUAUUUGAUGGUCUCUUUUACAUGGAUAACCAUGGUAAUUCUAUGGCUAAUACAUGCGCACAGGCCUCCUUCUUUGGAGGGGCCGUGUUUAUUAGAUACAAAACCAACCCACUUUGUGGAGCCUUGGUGAUUCAUAGUAACCGAACGGAUCGCAUUUGGCUUUAGCCGGCGAUAGAUCAUUCAAGUUUCUGACCUAUCAGCUUUCGACGGUAGGGUAUUGGCCUACCGUGGCAUUGACGGGUAACGGGGAAUUAGGGUUCGAUUCCGGAGAGGGAGCCUGAGAAACGGCUACCACAUCUAAGGAAGGCAGCAGGCGCGCAAAUUACCCAAUGAAAACAGUUUCGAGGUAGUGACGAGAAAUAACAAUACAGGGCAUUUAAUGCUUUGUAAUUGGAAUGAUAGGAAUUUAAAAUCCUUCCAGAGUAACAAUUGGAGGGCAAGUCUGGUGCCAGCAGCCGCGGUAAUUCCAGCUCCAAUAGUGUAUAUUAGAGUUGUUGCAGUUAAAAAGCUCGUAGUUGGAUUUCUGUCGUGGUCAUCCGGCCUUGCCCGUAGGGUGUGCGCCUGGGUUGCCCGCGGCUUUCUUCCGGUAGCCUUCCGCGCUUCGCUGCGUGCGUUGGUGUUCCGGAACUUUUACUUUGAGAAAAAUAGAGUGUUUCAAGCAGGCUUGUCGCCCUGAAUACUGCAGCAUGGAAUAAUAAGAUAGGACCUUGGUUCUAUUUUGUUGGUUUCUAGGACCGAGGUAAUUCUGCAGGCAUGCACGCGAGCGCGCGUGGAUCGGCGCGGGGGUAUAGCGUAACAUCCUCGGGCUUCCACAGCUCCUCGGGGUUUUUCCUGUGCGUCGCCUUCUUUCCUUCGUCCUGCUGAAAUAGA